This 497-nucleotide ribosomal RNA is filed under the name uncultured bacterium. RNAcentral's name for it is "partial 16S ribosomal RNA". It matches the Rfam family "Bacterial small subunit ribosomal RNA", at positions 28 to 507 of the family's 1533-position model. The record is from RNAcentral.
GAUGAACGCUGGUGGCGUGCCUAAUACAUGCAAGUCGAGCGAACGGACGAGAAGCUUGCUUCUCUGAUGUUAGCGGCGGACGGGUGAGUAACACGUGGAUAACCUACCUAUAAGACUGGGAUAACUUCGGGAAACCGGAGCUAAUACCGGAUAAUAUUUUGAACCGCAUGGUUCAAAAGUGAAAGACGGUCUUGCUGUCACUUAUAGAUGGAUCCGCGCUGCAUUAGCUAGUUGGUAAGGUAACGGCUUACCAAGGCAACGAUGCAUAGCCGACCUGAGAGGGUGAUCGGCCACGCUGGAAGUGAGACAGGGUCGGGAGGGGGGGGGGAGGCAGCAGUAGGGAAUCUUCCGCAAUGGGCGAAAGCCUGACGGAGCAACGCCGCGUGAGUGAUGAAGGUCUUCGGAUCGUAAAACUCUGUUAUUAGGGAAGAACAUAUGUGUAAGUAACUGUGCACAUCUUGACGGUACCUAACCAGAAAGCCACGGCUAACUACGUG